AUUAAAAGAUGGCUGUGGAGUCUGAAAAACUCAUAGAUCGUGUGUUGAUAUCAGCUUCUGCUCUUGCAUUUUCUAUGGGAUUGGAGUUAAAUGACAGCACUACAUUU
Molecule: small nucleolar RNA, 107 nt
Organism: Cornus florida
Lineage: Eukaryota; Viridiplantae; Streptophyta; Magnoliopsida; Cornales; Cornaceae
Product: small nucleolar RNA snoR97
Exons: 1
Source: RefSeq, a predicted model, not a curated record